GACGAACGCUGGCGGCGUGCUUAACACAUGCAAGUCGAACGGAAAGGCCCUGCUUUUGUGGGUUGCUCGAGUGGCGAACGGGUGAGUAACACGUGAGUAACCUGCCCUUGACUUUGGGAUAACUUCAGGAAACUGGGGCUAAUACCGGAUAGGAGCUCCUGCUGCAUGGUGUGGGUUGGAAAGUUUCGGCGGUUGGGGAUGGACUCGCUGCUUAUCAGCUUGUUGGUGUGGUAGUGGCUUACCAAGGCUUUGACGGGUAGCCGGCCUGAGAGGGUUACCGGCCACAUUGGGACUGAGAUACGGCCCAGACUCCUACGGGAGGCAGCAGGGGGGAAUAUUGCACAAUGGGCGGAAGCCUGAGGCAGAAACGCCGCGUGCGGGAUGACGGCCUUCGGGUUGUAAACCGCUUUCGCCUGUGACGAAGAGUGAGUGACGGUAAUGGGUAAAGAAGCACCGGCUAACUACGUG
Molecule: ribosomal RNA, 468 nt
Filed under: uncultured bacterium
Lineage: Bacteria
Description: partial 16S ribosomal RNA
Rfam family: Bacterial small subunit ribosomal RNA
Source: RNAcentral